RNAcentral lists this transfer RNA (71 nucleotides) under Cordylochernes scorpioides. RNAcentral's name for it is "tRNA-Ser". The record is from RNAcentral. Lineage: Eukaryota; Metazoa; Arthropoda; Arachnida; Pseudoscorpiones; Chernetidae.
UGUCCAAGGAUGGGAAUCGAACCCACAGUGUUCCGCUUACCGGGCAGAUGCCAUGUCCACUAUCCCUGGAC